GCCAGGCCCCGACCCCCGGCCUGAGCCCCGCGGGCUGCCGCGGGGGUCCGCGGCCGGACGGCGGGGCGGAGUCCGCCACUCAAUCCCGCUCGGCUUAGCGACCUCCAGCCCCACAGGCCCCGCGGCGCGACCACCCGCCGCGCCCCUCCCUCCAGAGGCGCCGCUCACCGCGUCCCCGGCGACCCGCGUCCGCUCCCGCCCCGCCACUGGCGGCUUCCGCGGAGCGCGCCGGGCCGGUUGUCUCUCUGGUUACGGUAAAGGAAGCCGCCUGGGGCUGGCGGGAGGCUCUGUUCUCGGAGUAGCCGGGCCUAGGAAGAGCACGUUUUAAAGCUGUUGCUCCAGGUUGUUCGGGAACGAUGCUAAUACUAUUGAGGGAAAGUGACUCCACCCGCCCCCAGUAGCUUGAGUUCUGUCUCCAGGUUAAGCAAACAGCCAAUGCAGGCGUGACUCACCAGGCCUCUUAGGAAUCUGGGCAAAAGAAAAAAGGUCAGAGUUCAGCCCUCCGAAUCAUAUGGGGACAUGAUUUAACAGUGAUGUUUUUAUAUUAUGAAGAAGAAAGCAAGUUCUCGGAGUACAGCCGGCACAGUGCUACAUUAGGGCGGCAAACAAAAGCAUCAGUUUCACUUCCCAACUCUGUUAACUGUUCCAAUGAAGACACACAAGGAUAAUGGUCUU
This is a long non-coding RNA of Microcebus murinus (gray mouse lemur), 675 nucleotides long. RefSeq lists it as uncharacterized. Lineage: Eukaryota; Metazoa; Chordata; Mammalia; Primates; Cheirogaleidae. The record is from RefSeq and is a predicted model, not a curated record.